RNAcentral lists this ribosomal RNA (506 nucleotides) under uncultured bacterium. RNAcentral describes it as "partial 16S ribosomal RNA". It matches the Rfam family "Bacterial small subunit ribosomal RNA", at positions 30 to 523 of the family's 1533-position model. The record is from RNAcentral.
AUUGAACGCUGGCGGCAUGCCUAACACAUGCAAGUCGAACGGCAGCAUGGUCUAGUUUACUAGAUUGAUGGCGAGUGGCGGACGGGUGAGUAACGCGUAGGAAUAUGCCUUAAAGAGGGGGAUAACUUGGGGAAACUCAAGCUAAUACUGCGUAAUCUCUGAGGAGAAAAGCUGGGGACCUUCGGGCCUGGCGCUUUAAGAAUAGCCUGCGUACGAUUAGCUAGUUGGUGAGGUAAGGGCUCACCAAGGCGACGAUCGUUAGCUGGUCUGAGAGGAUGGCCAGCCACACUGGGACUGAGACACGGCCCAGACUCCUACGGGAGGCAGCAGUGGGGAAUAUUGGACAAUGGGGGCAACCCUGAUCCAGCAAUGCCGCGUGUGUGAAGAAGGCCUGAGGGUUGUAAAGCACUUUCAGUGGGGAGGAGGAUUGAUUGGUUAAGAGCUGAUUAAUUGGACGUUACCCACAGAAGAAGCACCGGCUAACUCCGUGCCAGCAGCCGCCGUAA